RNAcentral lists this ribosomal RNA (317 nucleotides) under uncultured bacterium. RNAcentral's name for it is "bacterial SSU rRNA". It matches the Rfam family "Bacterial small subunit ribosomal RNA", at positions 28 to 334 of the family's 1533-position model. The record is from RNAcentral.
GAUGAACGCUGGCGGCGUGCCUAAUACAUGCAAGUCGAGCGAACAGAUAAGGAGCUUGCUCCUUUGACGUUAGCGGCGGACGGGUGAGUAACACGUGGGUAACCUACCUAUAAGACUGGGAUAACUUCGGGAAACCGGAGCUAAUACCGGAUAAUAUUUCGAACCGCAUGGUUCGAUAGUGAAAGAUGGUUUUGCUAUCACUUAUAGAUGGACCCGCGCCGUAUUAGCUAGUUGGUAAGGUAACGGCUUACCAAGGCGACGAUACGUAGCCGACCUGAGAGGGUGAACGGCCACAUUGGGACUGAGACACGGCCCAA